This is a non-coding RNA of Gossypium arboreum, 144 nucleotides long. The record is from Rfam. NCBI's taxonomy places the organism in Eukaryota, Viridiplantae, Streptophyta, Magnoliopsida, Malvales, Malvaceae.
UAUUAAAAAUUUCAUCCAUUUCUAUUGUUAAAAAUUGAUGCAAUUGACAGAAUAACUAAACAGUUACAUUUAACAUGCCCCGUGUACCUCAUUCUAAUGUACAUGAACUAGUUUUUAAUAGUAGAAAUGGAUGAAAUUUUAACA